CUGGCGGCUUGUCCUGGGGGAUUGGCAGCCGGAGCAGGAGUUAGCUUCUGAUACUGCAUUGUUUCCAGUGGUGUUCUCUUUGUUUUUAUGUCUUUUUUAUUAUUGUUAUUGCAAAUUUCCAGGUUUUUAUAACAAUUUUUUUUUUCCUGGAUUUGACGACUGGUACCAUUCACUAACAGUCUGGCUGUACAUGUUUAGUUAAUUACAGGGGGGAAGCAUGGCAACGGAAGGAGAGGAUAUGGCUGUCCUAGCCAUGAGUGAAGUGUCUGAGGGAGUGGAUGGCGACGCUCAGGAAAUGCCUCCAUCUGUUGAGUCGGCGCAGGUCGCAGUACCGCGGCCUCGUCUAUAUCGCACAAGGCAAUUGCUGGAUGGUGUGCCCGAGGCAGAGGUGAUUAAACUUUACCGCCUAUCCUCACACGCAAUCUAUGCGCUGUAUGACAUCUUGGAGCCCGACCUGGAGCCGCGUGUGGCCACGAACCACGCAGUGCCCGGCCUGGCCAAGCUGCUCGCGUCUCUGCACUUUUUUGCAUCCGGCCGUUUUCAGCCAACGGUCUCCCUAAUCGCCGGCUUUUCCCAGGCCACGUUUUCGCGCUCUUUGUUCCAGGUGCUAACGGCUUUAAAGAAACACACCACGGACUUUAUAAAAUUCCCGCAAUCCGACAGCGAGUGGAGGGAGAUCAAAUCAGAUUUUUUUUCUAUUGCCGGCAUGCCAAAUGUUUUGGGGGCAUUGGACUGCAUGCAUGUGGCACUCACUACGCCGCGGCAAAAUGCGGAAUGUUUUCGGAACCGUAGAGACUUUCACUCGCUAAAUGUGCAGAUGGUGAGUGACGCCAAUCAAAGAAUUCUGAAUGUUGUGGUGGGGUUUCCCGGAUCUACACAUGAUUCUUAUAUUCUGCGCCAGUCUGCACUGUUCCGCCAAAUCGAGGAAGGAUCAGUCCCAUACGGUUGGCUGCUUGGUGACACUGGAUAUAGAAGCCGCAUUUGGCUGUUAACGCCUAUGUCGGAACCUGUUACUGCCGCUGAAAAAAGGUACCAAUCCGCACACGCAGCAACGAGGGGUGUUGUUGAAACAACCUUCGCUGCUCUUAAGAGCCGGUUCCGCUGUUUAGACAAGUCCGGCGGUGCGCUAUUGUACUCUCCUUCAAAGGUUUGCGACAUAACUAUCGCGUGCUGCAUUUUGCACAACAUUUGCGUAGCAAACAAUUUGACGGUAGAGAUUAAUCCCAGUGUUUAUCAGGAAGAGGACCUUUCUCCGGUGGUAGUAGAUACCAGGGAUCUAGGCGGCCAGGUCCGGCGUCGUGUUAUAGAAGAUUAUUUUUCAUCUCCUCUCCCACCAUCCUGAAUGUACCAGCCACAUACGUAGACUUUUCAUAGAUGAUUGCACACCUACCAAACUUAGUAGUGCUGCCAACUGUAAAGAAUUCCUUGUGGGUUCAAAGUGUGUAAGAGAAAAUCCGGAUCAGCCAAGCCUGGAAUAUCCUGUCGCCAUGGUUUCAGCUUCCCCGCCAGUAUCGCACACGGAUCAGUGCAAGGCUUGUAUAGAUGUAUCAUAUACUAAAGCGGCUCUUCAAGGAUCUUGAUUACGUGUCAGACAGCGGACCCACAUAGAGGACCCCAAACCACAAAAGUGUGUGAAGACUAUGGACCAAAGGAAUGAAUGCUCGAUAGAAAAUAUUUUAGUAAUU
This is an RNA transcript of Pseudophryne corroboree (corroboree frog), 1685 nucleotides long. It is a transcript of the gene named putative nuclease HARBI1, with no coding region annotated. The record is from RefSeq and is a predicted model, not a curated record. The transcript has 5 exons. NCBI's taxonomy places the organism in Eukaryota, Metazoa, Chordata, Amphibia, Anura, Myobatrachidae.